GGCAGGUCAGGGCGUUUAUCGCGGCGGGUCUGUAAAACCGUCGGCUUCGCCUACGCAAGUUCGAACCUUGCACCUGCCACCA
RNAcentral lists this transfer RNA (82 nucleotides) under Nonomuraea muscovyensis. RNAcentral's name for it is "tRNA-Tyr". Lineage: Bacteria; Bacillati; Actinomycetota; Actinomycetes; Streptosporangiales; Streptosporangiaceae. The record is from RNAcentral.